CCUACGGGAGGCUGCAGUGAGGAAUAUUGGUCAAUGGGCGUAAGCCUGAACCAGCCAAGUCGCGUGAGGGAUGAAGGUUCUAUGGAUCGUAAACCUCUUUUAUGAGGGAAUAAAGUGCGGGACGUGUCCCGUUUUGUAUGUAACUUAUGAAUAAGGAUCGGCUAACUCCGUGCCAGCAGCCGCGGUAAUACGGAGGAUCCGAGCAUUAUCCGGAUUUAUUGGGUUUAAAGGGUGCGUAGGCGGCCUUUUAAGUCAGCGGUGAAAGUCUGUGGCUCAACCAUAGAAUUGCCGUUGAAACGGGGAGGCUUGAGUAUGUUUGAGGCAGGCGGAAUGCGUGGUGUAGCGGUGAAAGGCUU
RNAcentral lists this ribosomal RNA (356 nucleotides) under uncultured bacterium. RNAcentral describes it as "partial 16S ribosomal RNA". It matches the Rfam family "Bacterial small subunit ribosomal RNA", at positions 338 to 691 of the family's 1533-position model. The record is from RNAcentral.